UACUUUUAGCUUUUAGUUUAAUUUAAUUAGUUUUGUUUCUUUAGAAUUAAUAAAAUUCAAAACCCCCUGCUUUCUUUAUUGUUAGUGUGUGUGAAUACUUGAGUUCACUUUAAUAAUUGGUCAAUCAUUCUCUUUGGGGUUGACCUUUACUUACUCUUGUUACAAGUUAGUCUAGUAGAGUACCUUAUUUAAUUGGUGCAUUCAGCACGGAUCAAAUCUUGGUGCCAUUGGUAGGGAGUGAUUUUGCAUUGAUCAGUAAAUCUGAAUUCAAGUGUGUUUAAAGUUUUCUUUUAGUGUUCUCUUUCAGGUUGUAUGUGUGGUGGAGAUAUCGACAUAAGGCUUCAAUGCAUUAAGGAUUUUUUGAAAUAUUAAUCAGAAUCUACAAGCUCAUCUCA
Molecule: unclassified non-coding RNA, 395 nt
Filed under: Hevea brasiliensis (rubber tree)
Lineage: Eukaryota; Viridiplantae; Streptophyta; Magnoliopsida; Malpighiales; Euphorbiaceae
Source: RNAcentral